Molecule: ribosomal RNA, 638 nt
Filed under: Alcaligenes faecalis
Lineage: Bacteria; Pseudomonadati; Pseudomonadota; Betaproteobacteria; Burkholderiales; Alcaligenaceae
Description: bacterial SSU rRNA
Rfam family: Bacterial small subunit ribosomal RNA
Source: RNAcentral
UGUCGGGAGCUUUAACAUGCAGUCGAACGGCAGCGCGAGAGAGCUUGCUCUCUUGGCGGCGAGUGGCGGACGGGUGAGUAAUAUAUCGGAACGUGCCCAGUAGCGGGGGAUAACUACUCGAAAGAGUGGCUAAUACCGCAUACGCCCUACGGGGGAAAGGGGGGGAUCGCAAGACCUCUCACUAUUGGAGCGGCCGAUAUCGGAUUAGCUAGUUGGUGGGGUAAAGGCUCACCAAGGCAACGAUCCGUAGCUGGUUUGAGAGGACGACCAGCCACACUGGGACUGAGACACGGCCCAGACUCCUACGGGAGGCAGCAGUGGGGAAUUUUGGACAAUGGGGGAAACCCUGAUCCAGCCAUCCCGCGUGUAUGAUGAAGGCCUUCGGGUUGUAAAGUACUUUUGGCAGAGAAGAAAAGGUAUCCCCUAAUACGGGAUGCUGCUGACGGUAUCUGCAGAAUAAGCACCGGCUAACUACGUGCCAGCAGCCGCGGUAAUACGUAGGGUGCAAGCGUUAAUCGGAAUUACUGGGCGUAAAGCGUGUGUAGGCGGUUCGGAAAGAAAGAUGUGAAAUCCCAGGGCUCACCUUGGAACUGCAUUUUUAACUGCCGAGCUAGAGUAUGUCAGAUGGGGGUAGAAUU